AACGAACGCUGGCGGCAGGCUUAACACAUGCAAGUCGAACGAAGUCUUCGGACUUAGUGGCGCACGGGUGAGUAACACGUGGGAAUAUACCUCUUGGUGGGGAAUAACAUCGGGAAACUGAUGCUAAUACCGCAUACGCCCUUCGGGGAAAGAUUUAUCGCCGAGAGAUUAGCCCGCGUCCGAUUAGCUAGUUGGUGAGGUAAUGGCUCACCAAGGCGACGAUCGGUAGCUGGUCUGAGAGGAUGAUCAGCCACACUGGGACUGAGACACGGCCCAGACUCCUACGGGAGGCAGCAGUGGGAUAUUGGACAAUGGGCGAAAGCCUAGAUCCAGCCAUAGCCGCGUGAGUGAAGAAGGCCUUC
Molecule: ribosomal RNA, 362 nt
Filed under: uncultured bacterium
Lineage: Bacteria
Description: bacterial SSU rRNA
Rfam family: Bacterial small subunit ribosomal RNA
Source: RNAcentral